Molecule: long non-coding RNA, 288 nt
Organism: Heterocephalus glaber (naked mole-rat)
Lineage: Eukaryota; Metazoa; Chordata; Mammalia; Rodentia; Bathyergidae
Source: Ensembl
GUUUCUUUUUUUUUUGCACCAGGGAUUGAACUCGGGUCCUUGUGCUUGCACAGCAGGCGGUGAAACCACUCAGCUAAAUCCCCGGCCUAAAUAUGUUUCUAAUGGGAAAUGCAUAUCAUCAAAGUAUCCGAGGGUCUGAUCAGCCCACGGCAGUCACCCCUUGUUGCUUUGCUGUCUUCUGUCCAUCAUGGACUGUUUCUGCAAUGCCCCUUUGCAUUGCCACCCUGCCUUGCAGCCAGCCAGUUAUGAACUGAAACCUCUACAAACUGUUAGCUAAAUAAACCUUUC